Molecule: ribosomal RNA, 486 nt
Filed under: uncultured Flavobacteriales bacterium
Lineage: Bacteria; Pseudomonadati; Bacteroidota; Flavobacteriia; Flavobacteriales
Description: bacterial SSU rRNA
Rfam family: Bacterial small subunit ribosomal RNA
Source: RNAcentral
GAUGAACGCUAGCGGCAGGCCUAACACAUGCAAGUCGAGGGGUAACAGAGAGAAGCUUGCUUCUCUGCUGACGACCGGCGAACGGGUGCGUAACACGUAUGCAACCUACCCUUAACAGGGGGAUAGCCCAGAGAAAUCUGGAUUAAUACCCCAUAAUAUUGCAAAUUCGCAUGUUUUUGCAAUUAAAACUCCGGUGGUUAAGGAUGGGCAUGCGGGACAUUAGUUAGUUGGUGAGGUAACGGCUCACCAAGACCGCGAUGUCUAGGGGUUCUGAGAGGAAGAUCCCCCACACUGGUACUGAGACACGGACCAGACUCCUACGGGAGGCAGCAGUGAGGAAUAUUGCGCAAUGGACGAAAGUCUGACGCAGCCAUGCCGCGUGAAGGAAGAAUGCCCUAUGGGUUGUAAACUUCUUUUAUAUACCAAGAAACCCAAGUACGUGUACUUGGCUGACGGUAGUAUAUGAAUAAGCACCGGCUAACUCCG